Molecule: ribosomal RNA, 253 nt
Filed under: uncultured prokaryote
Description: partial 16S ribosomal RNA
Rfam family: Bacterial small subunit ribosomal RNA
Source: RNAcentral
UACGUAGGCAGCAAGCGUUGUUCGGAAUUACUGGGCGUAAAGAGUGUGUAGGCGGUGCUCCAAGUCUGGUGUGAAAUCUCCCGGCUCAACUGGGAGGGUGCGCUAGAAACUGGAAUGCUAGAGGAUGGGAGAGGUAAGCGGAAUUCCUGGUGUAGCGGUGAAAUGCGUAGAUAUCUGGAAGAACACCAGUGGCGAAGGCGGUCGACUGGCCCGUAACUGACGCUGAGGCACGAAAGCGUGGGGAUCAAACAGG